This 497-nucleotide ribosomal RNA is filed under the name uncultured bacterium. RNAcentral's name for it is "partial 16S ribosomal RNA". It matches the Rfam family "Bacterial small subunit ribosomal RNA", at positions 28 to 507 of the family's 1533-position model. The record is from RNAcentral.
GAUGAACGCUGGCGGCGUGCCUAAUACAUGCAAGUCGAGCGAACAGACGAGGAGCUUGCUCCUUUGACGUUAGCGGCGGACGGGUGAGCAACACGUGGAUAACCUACCUAUAAGACUGGGAUAACUUCGGGAAACCGGAGCUAAUACCGGAUAACAUGUUGAACCGCAUGGUUCAACAGUGAAAGACGGUCUUGCUGUCACUUAUAGAUGGAUCCGCGCCGCAUUAGCUAGUUGGUAAGGUAACGGCUUACCAAGGCAACGAUGCGUAGCCGACCUGAGAGGGUGAUCGGCCACACUGGAACUGAGACACGGUCCAGACUCCUACGGGAGGCAGCAGUAGGGAAUCUUCCGCAAUGGGCGAAAGCCUGACGGAGCAACGCCGCGUGAGUGAAGAAGGUCUUCGGAUCGUAAAACUCUGUUAUUAGGGAAGAACAAAUGUGUAAGUAACUAUGCACGUCUUGACGGUACCUAAUCAGAAAGCCACGGCUAACUACGUG